UCAAUGAUAGUCACAGAUUAUGGAAUGGUAAGUGUUGAAAUUUUGAGAAGUUACACAUUUGGUGCUAAAACAUGGCUAAAGUGCAUUUUUUGAACCUGGAAACCUGUAGUUUGCAUUUUAUCUAGUUGGUCUUAGGAGAAUGAUUUUAGGAUCAAGCAAACCCGUAUUCGAGUAGGGUUGUUGUAGGUGGUGACAGAGGGUUUUUUGAUGGGAAGGGGAAUGAUGCUGGGAAGGUUGUGGCGUCUUCGUUUCCGAGAGGUGGAUUUGAUUUGACGGCUUUGAAGGGGAAUGGUGCUGUUGUUCCGGCGAGUGGGUUGACUACUGUUUCUGUUGUUAAUGAUUCGCUUGGGAUUGGGAUUCCUGGUGAGAGAUUCUUAUCUUUGUUGAUUUUGUUUUUGAUGGUAGUCUAUGGUUUGGUUUGUUUGAAUUUGAACUGGUUUUAGCUAUCAAGCACUGACACCGGAAACACAACACCGACACUGACUCAUCGAUGCUUGUAAUAAUUUGAAAAAACAGUAAAUUAAACUUAAUCACAAGGGUCGGUAUCGGUUUCGGAGUGUUCUGACACCUAUUUUUUCCCGAGGUGAUGGUGCAACAUUUGGAUUAUCAAUUGGUGAGAAUACUAAUUGAGGUGUGUUUGGAUAAACAAUUUAAUUGGGGGCUUCCUGCUUAAGCGCUUACCACAAUAAGUGCUUAUGCAUAGACUAUUUCAGUGGCAAAAGAUAAAAUAAAGUCAAAGUGUUUGCAUAUUUGGUAGAAGCUGUUUUCAUAAACUAUCUUGUAGUACUUGUCGAAAUAGAUGAAGACAACUUACGGACAUGUCAUAGAAGUUGUUUUUAUCAACUCUCUCGAAUAGUCUCACGCUUGCUUAUGCCAAUAGACAAAUUCAAAUAAAUCAAUUUAACCAGCCCUGAAAUUGAAUUUCAGCAAGUGUAGGGUGAAAUUAGGAAGUGGAAAAAUGCAGUUUAUGAAGUUUGAUUCAGCUUUUUGUAAAAUAUGAACUAGAAAGUGAAAGUAAAGAUUAAAAAUCAAUUUUUGGUUUGAUCUAGAAUUCUAGAUAGUGCAUAGAAUCAGGUUUUUGAAAAUGUAAACUAUUUUGUUUCAGAAAGGGUUUUGUUUGAAUAUAUACAAAAUAAUAUUUAGUUAUUAACUAGAGAUAGAACAUAAGUUCAAAGUUCUAUAUGUACUAGCGUGCAGUGUUCGUCUCUAUGCUUUUCUUUUGUGCUUAAGUAUAUAUGUAUUAGUUUAACAUAUUUUGUACUGUUGAGUGCUGAUUAGUUAAUUUUAAAUGUAGUUGAAACUUGAAAGUAAACUGGUAUUCCCUUUACAGAAGUUUAGAUAUAUGUGUGUUUGUCUUUUGCAUAAAGAGAAGGGUCUUUGUUUUUUAAUAUAUAAAAUUUAAACAUAUCUUUUGCCACACGUUAUAAUCUCCACUUGCUCUGUGUGUGUGUGUGUGUUGAUUUUAUCACCAUUUGCAAGUUUAAUUGUAUGAUGAUAAAGAAUUGGAAUCAGCUCGACUUGCUUGUUAUCAAUGUACACGAGGAUGUCUUUUAAAGAGAAAAAUUGAACUUUGUUGUCUGUGGUCUGUUUUUAUUUUCUUAUUGGCUUUGCUUUAGUUACAUUUUUAUUCUUCACCAUUAGAAAAAGAAAAAGCAAACAAAGGAGGAGGAUCAGCUGUGGAAAUGAAAGACCAAUCUACUAAUUCAAAACAGGAGAAACCAAAACCCACAAAAGCUGAAAGACGUGCACUUCAAGAAGCUUAACGAGCUGCAAAGGCUGCUGCAAAAGGUGUGUAUUAGUGUUCCCAUAUUUGAUUUGGAAAUGGUAGCGUGUCUGUCUGUGAUUCUGCAUUUGAGCUCUCUGACUUAAAGGGCUUCUACUGUGGGUAUACUGUCUGUGAUUAUAUGCUGAUCUUAAUAGUUUCUUGCUAUUGAUACCCAGUUCUUUGUCAGAACUACUUUUAAGUGUUCACAGACUCAAAUAUUGUGUUUUCUAUGAUUCUUACAAACAUAUAGUUUGGUAUAUACGAGCUGUUUCAUAGGUAACUUUUCUGCACAACUCAUUAUGAUGAUGCUAAUAAUUUAAAAUUUAAUAAAAUGUGUCUUUAGGCGAAGGAAAUAAGGCCUCUGCAACUGCUACAUCGGUGAAUGCAAAACCUGCUAAAGCAGUAAAGCCUGCACAGAAAGCUGAUAAUGCAUCAGUUGCAGCCACUGAGAAGAAGGGGAGUGAUUUCCCCCAUGAAAAGGAUAGAAAGAAAGAUGCCCCUCAACCACGCUUGCAGUAUGAUGACAAGAGCCGGGUGGAGAAAGCUAAACGUCGUUCUAUAGUGAAACACACUGAGGCUAGGAACAGAGUUGAGUUGUUCAGGCACUUACCACAAUAUGAACAUGGGAGUCAGCUUCCAGAUCUUGAGGCAAAGUUUUUCGAUUUUUAUCCUGUGCACCCUGCUGUUUAUAAGGUACUCUGUUAUCCUGUCAUUUGAUAUCAAUGCCACUAUAUACAUUUGUCUUUUGAUUUCUAUACCGCUGUUAUUUUUGGGUAUAUAAUAGUAGGGUUGAUAACUCAUUAUAAACAUUAGAUCGGAAAUUUAUAGCUACAUAAUCUGGGAGUCAAUAUUUUCUUAUCUUUAAAAAAAAAUUUAUACAUUCGUUUGAAAGUCAUUAUAAAUGAAAACUUGUGGAUUCAAUCUACUCAAUAUGAACUUUUAAUUUGACGGUUGGAUUGAUAAAUUAUAAUAUUUUAAUGAGUUAUAAGAAUAUAUUUAUGUAAUGUUUGUGGCUUUGAGCAUUGCAAUGCACAACAGCACCGCUAGCAGUAAUACUCUAAAGUGGUGUUUUAGAUUGCUCAUAGGUGACAUUGUAUGGUUCAUUGACAGUUAAAAAAUUAAACCCUCUGCACAAUAAUAGAGGCACAAUCUUGCCUAUCUGCUAUGUAUGAAGUUAUGUUGAAUGGCGUCCAAAUAUAAGCCUAUUGUAUUUAGCAUCCAAUUUUUCACGAAGACAUCCCAAUAUAAGCCAAAUUGUAGUUAAAACUUCAACUUUAUUCAUGAUGUUCUAGUGGAUAGGACAUUGAUUAGGAGUUAGGAGUUAGGAGUUAGGACCCAGUUCAAUACGUUAUGUGAACAAGAGCUUUUUAAAUAUGCUUUCUCAAAUCCUAAUGAUUUUCACUGUGGCUAUCAGGUGGGUUUGCAGUACAUAUCUGGAGAUAUAUCUGGUGGCAAUGAUUGUUGUAUUGCAAUGCUCCAAGCAUUUCAAGAGGCCAUCAAAGACUACAAGGUUCCACCUGAGAAGAGUCUCGGGAGAGAUUUGACAGCAAAAAUUGGUAGUUAUGUAUCAUUUCUUAUUGAGUGCCGGCCUCUGUCAAUCAGCAUGGGAAAUGCAAUUAGAUUUCUCAAGAGUCAGAUAGCCAAGCUACCUUUAACCUUGUCUGAGUCAGAAGCAAAAACUUCUCUCCAGUCAGAUAUUGAGCGUUUUAUAAAUGAGAAGAUCAUACUUGCCAACAAGGUGAUAGUCAAGCAUGCUGUCACCAAAAUAAGAGAUGGGGAUGUUCUUCUAACAUACGGGUCAUCAUUGGCAGUUGAAAUGAUUCUUUUGCAUGCACACGAAUUAGGAAAACAAUUUCGUGUUGUGAUAGUUGACUCUCGUCCAAAGCUUAGAGGCCAACGGUUACUCCGCAGGCUUGUGGAGAAAGGUCUUAACUGUACAUACACUCAUAUAAAUGCUGUUUCCUACAUUAUGCAUGAAGUUAGUCGAGUUUUUCUGGGUGCUGAAUCAAUAUUGUCUAAUGGAACGGUAUAUUCAAGAGUGGGGACUGCAAGUGUCGCAAUGGUUGCUCAUGCAUCCCGUGUACCAGUCAUAGUAUGUUGUGAGGCCUAUAAAUUUCAUGAAAGGGUACAGCUGGACUCGAUUUGCUCGAAUGAACUUGGUAUGUAUAUUUAUCUGUUAUAGAUGACAAGGCUUUUAUUUAUCAUAAACCAUUGGCUUUUUCCUCUAAGGCUGAUGUUUUUAUAAUGAUCUUACAGGUGAUCCAGAUGCCAUUUCAAGUGUUCAAGGUAGAGUGGAUGUCAACCACUUGGAUGGUUGGUCCGAUAUUGAAAAUCUGCAACUUCUAAAUCUGAUGUAAGUAUUUGUUGAUUGGAACACCACACCAAAUUGUUAUUUCGCCACUCUAACCUGCAAUUCUCUUUAAAUUGAUGACAGUUAUGAUGCAAUGCCUUCAGAUUACGUUUCAAUGAUAGUCACAGAUUAUGGAAUGGUAAGUGUUGAAAUUUUGAGAAGUUACACAUUUGGUGCUAAAACAUGGCUAAAGUGCAUUUUUUGAACCUGGAAACCCGUAGUUUGCAUUUUAUCUAGUUGGUCUUAGGAGAAUGAUUUUAGGAUCAAGCAAACAGUUUAAACUGCAGAAAACCUAAAAGAUUAAAAUAAAACAUGACAUAUAAUUAGAAAAGUACGAAGCGUUAUUUUUAUAAGUUCCACCCUUAAAACUUAUUUUCAAAAAGAAACUAUUGAAAAGAAGCGAGAGGGCAUUUGUAUUUACUGUUUAUAAGGAUAGAGGAAAAGAAACCAUUCUUUUGUAAACCCCUGAAAUGUGAUAAACUACUACU
RNAcentral lists this long non-coding RNA (4603 nucleotides) under Lathyrus oleraceus (garden pea). RNAcentral describes it as "Pisum sativum (pea) long non-coding RNA (PSAT_LNC040232)". Lineage: Eukaryota; Viridiplantae; Streptophyta; Magnoliopsida; Fabales; Fabaceae. The record is from RNAcentral.